This 501-nucleotide ribosomal RNA is filed under the name uncultured bacterium. RNAcentral describes it as "partial 16S ribosomal RNA". It matches the Rfam family "Bacterial small subunit ribosomal RNA", at positions 30 to 523 of the family's 1533-position model. The record is from RNAcentral.
AUUGAACGCUGGCGGCAGGCUUAACACAUGCAAGUCGAGCGGGGGAAGGUAGCUUGCUACUGGACCUAGCGGCGGACGGGUGAGUAAUGCUUAGGAAUCUGCCUAUUAGUGGGGGACAACAUCUCGAAAGGGAUGCUAAUACCGCAUACGUCCUACGGGAGAAAGCAGGGGAUCUUCGGACCUUGCGCUAAUAGAUGAGCCUAAGUCGGAUUAGCUAGUUGGUGGGGUAAAGGCCUACCAAGGCGACGAUCUGUAGCGGGUCUGAGAGGAUGAACCGCCACACUGGGACUGAGACACGGCCCAGACUCCUACGGGAGGCAGCAGUGGGGAAUAUUGGACAAUGGGGGGAACCCUGAUCCAGCCAUGCCGCGUGUGUGAAGAAGGCCUUAUGGUUGUAAAGCACUUUAAGCGAGGAGGAGGCUACUUUAGUUAAUACCUAGAGAUAGUGGACGUUACUCGCAGAAUAAGCACCGGCUAACUCUGUGCCAGCAGCCGCAGUAA